AAACAUCAUACAAUACACUCUCUUCUCUCUAACCUCUCUCUAAACUUUUCUCUUCUUAGAUCUUAGGCAUUGCUGCAAAUUUGAACUAAUGUUCUCAGAUUUGCACUAAUUUAAGCUUGUAUUUGACUAUUAGAGAUAAAAUCUUCAAACACCUCUCAUCUCUUUGAGGGUUUGUGAGAUUUUAGUUGGUAUUUUGAUGAUUUAAGUUGGUGUUUUCGUGAUUUUAGCUACAUUUCUCAGAUUUAUUGGUGUUUUUAUUUGUGAAUGGAGCUAGACCAAGAUAUAUUCUACAGGUUCUAUCUUUUAAGGUACGGGCUGCAAAUGGAAAGUUCUCAGGAGACAUUGAGGUUAUUCAACAAGUUAGUUUAAAGCUCUAAAAACAUGUCUGGUUGACAUCAUUUUGGUGAAAGGUGGAUAAAACAACCAAGGUGCUAAUGAAAUCAUUGAUGGAACGACAUUUGAAAUAUUCUUGAAAGUGGUAGAAAUUCUUGUAUGACUAGCUUUUUCUUGAUAUUAUGAAGUCUUAUUUUGCUAUCCAGUUGAAACAUAUGCCAAUGGAUGUAUAUUUUUCCCAUGGAUCGUAUUGUGAUUGAAUUUUUGUGCCUAUGGUGGAUGACAUUAUGACUUGCACAUUUUGUAUAUUUUGCGCCUAUAUGGUGGGUGACAUUUUGACUAAUAUAUUUUGUAUA
Molecule: long non-coding RNA, 689 nt
Organism: Solanum dulcamara
Lineage: Eukaryota; Viridiplantae; Streptophyta; Magnoliopsida; Solanales; Solanaceae
Exons: 3
Source: RefSeq, a predicted model, not a curated record